UACAGAGGGUGCAAGCGUUGUUCGGAAUUAUUGGGCGUAAAGCGCGUGUAGGCGGCUUCGUAAGUUGGGUGUGAAAGCCCUCGGCUUAACCGAGGAAGUGCGCCCAAAACUGCGUGGCUUGAGUACCGGAGAGGAUGGCGGAAUUCCCGGUGUAGAGGUGAAAUUCGUAGAUAUCGGGAGGAACACCAGCGGCGAAGGCGGCCAUCUGGACGGAUACUGACGCUGAGACGCGAAAGCGUGGGGAGCAAACAGG
RNAcentral lists this ribosomal RNA (253 nucleotides) under uncultured bacterium. Its description in RNAcentral is "partial 16S ribosomal RNA". It matches the Rfam family "Bacterial small subunit ribosomal RNA", at positions 524 to 776 of the family's 1533-position model. The record is from RNAcentral.